Molecule: non-coding RNA, 735 nt
Organism: Macaca mulatta (Rhesus monkey)
Lineage: Eukaryota; Metazoa; Chordata; Mammalia; Primates; Cercopithecidae
Source: RefSeq, a predicted model, not a curated record
CAGCUGCCAAUGCCCUGUCCCGUUUAGUAGGGGUAGGGGGACACGGCGAUGAGCAGGACGAAGACGCUUUGGUGGCGUGGCGCCGCGGCGCGCACGGUGAGCCGGUAGAGGCCAGAGCGGGGCCUGACCCCUGACCUGCACUUGAAGAUCUGCAUCAGCCAGGCUCUCGGGGACAACGCCAUUGACCACCACGUCGAGGAGCAGGAGGCCAUCGGGAUCCAGGCCCCGGGCCACCUGGGUCAUCGUGAGCAGCUCCCCUGCAAUCCAUCCCCACCCAGCCCAGAGUCACUACGGGAGGUCCUGGACGCAGGCUUCAGUCCUACCUGGCCCACCUAGGGGAGGCCCUGCUUACCUGUAGCAAACUCCACGUGUGACUCCUGCCGGAACCUGCCCCCGGUCAGGGAGUGGCCAUUCAGGGCUUCCCCACUCUCUCUGGCCAGGGCCCAGUAGAUGGGGGCGAUGGUGACCAGGAGCACCCGCAUCAGAGGUCCUGGGUGGGGCAGGGCGUGGAGGCCAGGUUAGAGCUGAUCCUCAGGGCAGCCACUCUCCCGCUCAAGGUCCCGUCAUGGCUCCCCACUGCCCCCAGGAGGGCUCAGCCCCUUCCUUUGCUGCCCAUACUCAGCCUUGUGACUGCCAUGCCAAUUAUUUAACCAGAAUCCGGGACCUGGUGGAGGCAAAUAAUCUACUUCCUGGAGUAACUGUGAAAUUAAUAAAUGUAUACAAGGAAAUGCUUAG